This 339-nucleotide unclassified non-coding RNA is filed under the name soil metagenome. RNAcentral describes it as "partial contains 5.8S ribosomal RNA, internal transcribed spacer 2, and large subunit ribosomal RNA". The stretch from base 1 to 120 matches the Rfam family "5.8S ribosomal RNA", at positions 35 to 154 of the family's 154-position model. The record is from RNAcentral.
GAUGAAGAACGUAGCGAAAUGCGAUAAGUAGUGUGAAUUGCAGAAUUCAGUGAAUCAUCGAAUCUUUGAACGCACAUUGCGCCCCUCGGUAUUCCGUGGGGCAUGCCUGUUCGAGCGUCAUUUAACCCCUCAAGCCUAGCUUGGUAUUGGGUGCUUGUCCCGCCUCUCGCGCGGCGACUCACCUCAAAGUCAUUGGCAGCCCGCAUCUCGCCGGCCGUGAGCGCAGCACAGACGCGCUCUUGGCAACGACGGAUCGGCUCUCCAAAAGCUUAUUUCAACCCCUGACCUCGGAUCAGGUAGGGAUACCCGCUGAACUUAAGCAUAUCAAUAAGCGGAGGA